This 465-nucleotide ribosomal RNA is filed under the name uncultured bacterium. Its description in RNAcentral is "partial 16S ribosomal RNA". It matches the Rfam family "Bacterial small subunit ribosomal RNA", at positions 338 to 795 of the family's 1533-position model. The record is from RNAcentral.
CCUACGGGAGGCAGCAGUGGGGAAUAUUGCGCAAUGGGCGAAAGCCUGACGCAGCGACACCGCGUGAGGGAUGAAGGUCUUCGGAUCGUAAACCUCUGUCAGCAGGGAAGAACGGUCACUGUGCUAAUCAGCAGUGAAUUGACGGUACCUGCAAAGGAAGCACCGGCUAACUCCGUGCCAGCAGCCGCGGUAAUACGGAGGGUGCGAGCGGUAAUCGGAAUUACUGGGCGUAAAGCGCUCGUAGGCGGGAUGUCCAGUCAAGGGUGAAAGCCCCGCGCUGAACGUGGGAACUGCCUUUGAAGCUGGCAAACUUGAGUGUGUGAGAGGAUAGUGGAAUUCCAGGUGUAGGAGUGAAAUCCGUAGAUAUCUGGAGGAACAUCAGUGGCGAAGGCGACUAUCUGGCACAUAACUGACGCUGAGGAGCGAAAGCGUGGGUAGCAAACAGGAUUAGAUACCCCGGUAGUC